GAUGAAGAACGCAGCGAAAUGCGAUAAGUAAUGUGAAUUGCAGAAUUCCGUGAAUCAUCGAAUCUUUGAACGCACAUUGCGCCCCCUGGCAUUCCGGGGGGCAUGCCUGUCCGAGCGUCAUUUCUGCCCUCCAGCCCGGCUGGGUGUUGGGCGCUGUCCCCCCGGGGACACGCCCCAAAGGCAGUGGCGGCGCCGCGUCGGGUCCUCGAGCGUAUGGGGCUUUGUCACCCGCUCGGGACGGACUCGUCGGUGCUGGUCUUCCUCCAGGCGACCCUUCGGGGCUCGUCUUCCUUCGGUUGACCUCGGAUCAGGUAGGGUUACCCGCUGAACUUAAGCAUAUCAAUAAGCGGAGGA
Molecule: unclassified non-coding RNA, 354 nt
Filed under: soil metagenome
Description: partial contains 5.8S ribosomal RNA, internal transcribed spacer 2, and large subunit ribosomal RNA
Rfam family: 5.8S ribosomal RNA (bases 1-120)
Source: RNAcentral